CGCACGGGUGAGUAACACGUAUCCAACCUGCCGUCUACUCUUGGACAGCCUUCUGAAAGGAAGAUUAAUACAAGAUGGCAUCAUGAGGUCCGCAUGUUCACAUGAUUAAAGGUAUUCCGGUAGACGAUGGGGAUGCGUUCCAUUAGAUAGUAGGCGGGGUAACGGCCCACCUAGUCUUCGAUGGAUAGGGGUUCUGAGAGGAAGGUCCCCCACAUUGGAACUGAGACACGGUCCAAACUCCUACGGGAGGGCAGCAUG
This 258-nucleotide ribosomal RNA is filed under the name uncultured bacterium. Its description in RNAcentral is "partial 16S ribosomal RNA". It matches the Rfam family "Bacterial small subunit ribosomal RNA", at positions 99 to 348 of the family's 1533-position model. The record is from RNAcentral.